Triticum aestivum (bread wheat) is the source of this 1030-nucleotide RNA transcript. RefSeq lists it as uncharacterized. The transcript has 3 exons. The record is from RefSeq and is a predicted model, not a curated record. Lineage: Eukaryota; Viridiplantae; Streptophyta; Magnoliopsida; Poales; Poaceae.
CUUCGCUACCUUUCCAUCGUCUGUCGCGUGCCAUCGCUUCACCCCAUGUACAGGGCUAUAAAAAGGCUUCCCAUCGACAUGUCUACCUCAGUGUCUUCAAAAUCCCGCCACACUAGACCUCAUCGACGACGCGUGCCUCGCCGGAGAACCCGGCAUCACCCCAUGUCUCUCUCCGUGCGGCCGAGGUGGUGGUGCACACAGAAAAGACGGCACACGAGAGUUACUAUGGUGGCCACAGCCAAGGAAAAGGCCCCUGCCCCAUCUCCGUUCUCUUCCCGACGAGGCCCUCCCCCAUCGGUCAUCAGCUACGGCUUAAGGGGCGCACGCGGAGGCCGUGGCCGAUUGAGGUGGAGCUCGCCCCUGUUGGACAGCAGGGCGACCGCGGCUUGGUUUCACCUGAUUCUUCCCUCCUCCACCGCCAGCAGCAAGAGCGCCGCCACCAAACGUGCUUUGCGUGUCUUCUUGGAUUUCCCUCUUCCGAGGCACACAACCGCCUCGAUCCAAACCUUCCCCGUGGACUUGUGGAGGCAACGUGAGUUCUUUGUGUUGUCGUUAUUUUUCAGUGUCUUGAGUCUAUGCAAGAAAGAGAUGAGCAGCCAAUCAAUUUGAGGAUGGUGGGUGCAUGCUGGCCGCUGCUCGCGAUCGUGGGUGGUCAGACUGGCACAAGAAAAAGUCCGAUGAGGUCGUCAUCUGUCAGCGCAUCUGCACCUCCAUGCGGGUGCUCAAGAUGGAUGAUGAUUUUUAUAAGAGCCCUAUCCCGGACACCUGCGGUUAUGGCUGCACGGUGAUUGAUGAAGUGGUUUCCAAUGAUCUGCAGGAAGGAUAGAGAUGAAUACCCAUCUCUGAGUGGUGAAGAAGUUCCCUGUUUCCCUGCCCGAGCCUUACAACAGCGUAUAUUUAUGCUUUUGUUCUCCAAGUAGUAAGAUGUCAAAGCACAAGUGUCUUUUUAAGGCUUCUUUAAAGUUUGUUUUCUGAUUUUCAAUCCUGGGGACAUGUAGUUAUUUCUUCAUUUUCUAAUCUGAAAAAUACA